This 76-nucleotide transfer RNA is filed under the name Chitinispirillales bacterium. RNAcentral's name for it is "tRNA-Asn". It matches the Rfam family "tRNA". Rfam says of the family: Transfer RNA (tRNA) molecules are approximately 80 nucleotides in length. Their secondary structure includes four short double-helical elements and three loops (D, anti-codon, and T loops). The record is from RNAcentral. Lineage: Bacteria; Pseudomonadati; Fibrobacterota; Chitinispirillia; Chitinispirillales.
UGGCCAAUAGCUCAGUCGGUAGAGCAAGUGGCUGUUAACCACUGGGUCGGGGGUUCAAGUCCCUCUUGGCCAGCCA